Molecule: long non-coding RNA, 484 nt
Organism: Podarcis raffonei (Aeolian wall lizard)
Lineage: Eukaryota; Metazoa; Chordata; Lepidosauria; Squamata; Lacertidae
Exons: 2
Source: RefSeq, a predicted model, not a curated record
GAACAUAAACGGAAACUGCAUGGGCAAAAUUCAGAACAGCAGAGGGCAGCAUGGCAGCAGACUGAGCAUCCAUGGAAUAUGGUGGUCCCUGAACGGCUUCAUCAGUUUCACCACACAUUAACUGUGUGUAGAUGGCUGUGGCUUCUCAGUACAAUUGCAGGUUCCCAACAAUGUGCAAACAGUGAAAUGUGUAUAUAUGAAAAAGCACAGAGUGAUGCACAACAAAGGAUAAACAACAGAAAUACAUCAAUGAUGAAAACAAAUACAGAGCUAAAAGCAGUCAACUGAUGUUUCCACCUCCAUCUCCAGUUCUGAAACAUUGCACUACUGUACAUUGAUACAUAUGCCUCAGGUAUUUGAUUUACCACCAUCUACAUCUCAUCUUCAUCAAGCAGGAUUCAUCCAACUUGACUGAUGAAGUUAUAGUUCCAAAGUAAAUAACACUUUAGAAAAAGUGUGAAAAAUAUGCUUCUCUCUAGACUCA